GAUGUGUCUUUAUAGUUAAACUCUGGCUGAGCCAGUGACGCCUAGGAAGAGUCUAGGUGACAACCAAGAAAGUUUGGUGACGACUGGAGAGACAGAUGACAGCUCGGAAAGACGGCUCCAGGGGCAGGGUGGGCUAGCAUCCCGGUCUGCAGUUUUCGUGAGAAAGCACCCCAAAAAGCUACGGAAAGCCCUAAAGAAAGAUACCCCCAGGAGAUCCCGAGAGGGGGGGAGGAUGAGGUCUCCAAUCGGACGGACUUAAGGUUAACGACCAACGCAAUGGAAAGGACUACGAGUAAGACAUGUAUCUGCGGCAAGCUGUGUAAGAACCAGCGUGGCCUAAAGGUCCAUCAGGCUAGAAUGAAAUGUUUGGAGCGGGAGAGUGAGGUGCAACGCACAGGUCCUGAACCUGGUGAGACGCAGGAGGAGCCCGGCCAGGAGGCACCCCACAGAGCCCAGUCCCUCCAUGCACUGGACUCUUCCAAUCCAAGCAGUGUAGUUCCACAACAGCGGAUUAAGUGGCCCCCAGCCAGCAGUCAGAGCGAGUGGCAGAAGUUUGAUGAGGAUGUCUCCAACAUCAUACAAGCUGUGGCCAAAAGAGAUGCCGACAGCAGGCUUAAAACAAUGACCACCAUCAUAGUCAGCUACGCCUCAGAAAGGUUCGGCCUGAUCGAGAAGUGUAACAACAAGACCCCUUACACCAUGAACCGCAGGGCCAUGAAGAUUCAUCAACUGCGCCAGGAGCUCAGGAGCCUUAAGAAGCAGUUCAAGAACGCUGAUGCGGAGGAGAAGCAAGCUUUAGAGGAACUGCAUAACAUCUUGCGGAAGAAGUUGAUUACCCUCCGUAGAGCAGAAUGGCACAGAAGGCGAGGAAGAGAGAGAGCCAGGAAACGUGCAGCUUUUAUUGCUGAUCCCUUUCGCUUUUCCAAACAAUUGCUUGGGGUUAAGCGAAGUGGGCAGUUGGAGUGCUCAGCAGAGGAGGUGAAUAACUUCCUUCAUGAGACAAUGAGUGACCCAUUGAGGGAACAAGACUUGGGACCAAACAAAGCUCUCAUCAACCCUGCCCCACCAUCAGCAGAGUUCAAGUUGACGGAGCCAAGUUUGAAGGAGGUGUGUGAGGUCAUCAAAGCAGCCCGCUCAGCAUCCUCCCCAGGUCCCAGUGGCGUACCCUACCUUGUCUAUAAGCGCUGCCCAGAGCUGCUUCGCCACCUGUGGAAGAUCUUAAAGGUGAUAUGGCGGAGAGGGAGAGUUGCUGAUCAGUGGAGGUGCGCAGAGGGAGUCUGGAUUCCCAAAGAGGAGGAUUCGAAAAACAUAAACCAGUUUCGGAGCAUCUCGCUAUUGAGCGUGGAGGGGAAGGUGUUUUUUAGCGUUGUCUCCCGGAGAUUGACCGAGUUUCUCCUUAGAAACAAUUACAUUGAUCCAUCAGUUCAGAAGGGGGGAUCCCAGGAGUUCCUGGUUGCCUAGAGCACACUGGUGUAGUUACACACCUUAUAAGAGAAGCCCAUGAGAACAGAGGCGACCUAGCUGUAUUGUGGCUGGACCUGACUAAUGCGUAUGGGUCGAUCCCACACAAACUGGUUGAGCAUGCUUUACACCUCCACCAUGUUCCCAGCAAGAUCAAGGACCUGAUCCUGGACUAUUACGCCAAUUUCAGGCUUAGGGUCACUUCUAGGGCAGUUACUUCAGAUUGGCACCGACUCGGGAAAGGUAUAAUAACAGGCUGUACCAUCUCAGUUACGCUCUUUGCCCUGGCAAUGAACAUGGUGGUAAAGGCUGCGGAGGUGGAGUGCAGAGGGCCGUUAACAAGGUCAGGUGUUCGUCAGCCCCCUAUCAGAGCCUAUAUGGAUGACCUCACCAUUACAACAUCAUCAGUUCCCGGGUGUAGGUGGAUCUUGCAAGGUCUUGAGAGACUCAUCUCAUGGGCAAGGAUGAGUUUUAAACCUUCCAAGUCAAGAUCGAUGGUACUGAAGAAGGGCAAGGUGACGGACAAGUUCCGGUUCUCAAUUUCAGGAACCAUUAUUCCAUCCAUAACGGAACAACCAGUUAAGAGCUUGGGGAAACUCUUUGACUCCAGCCUGAAAGACUCUACUGCUAUUCAGAAGGCAAAUGAGGAGCUGGGAGCGUGGCUUAUUAAGGUGGAUAAGUCCGGCCUGCCUGGAAGAUUUAAAGCCUGGAUCUACCAGCAUUCAAUCCUGCCCCGAAUCCUGUGGCCCUUGCUUGUCUAUACAGUUCCAAUAACUACUGUGGAAUCCCUUGAAAGAAAGAUCAGUGGCUUUCUUCGUAAGUGGCUGGGACUUCCCCGCAGUCUCACCAGCGCUGCCUUGUAUGGGACAAGCAACAGCGUGCAGUUACCCUUUAGUGGUCUCACAGAAGAGUUCAAGGUGGCUCGCACACGAGAAGCCCUACAGUACAGAGAUUCUAAAGACUGCAAGGUGGCAUUAGCAGGUAUUGAGGUAAGGACAGGAAGAAAGUGGAAGGCUGAGAAGGCAGUUGAGGUGGCGGAGUCACGCCUAAGGCAGAAAACACUGAUGGGGGUCUUAGCAACAGGGGGAGCAGGCUUGGGUAUGUCCCAAAGGCCCAGGUCAGCAGGGCACAGGGAAAGGAGAGACGCCAGCUACUCCAGGAAGAGGUCCGAGCAGGUGUGGAGGAGGAGCGAGUAAGUAGAGCUGUAGGCCUUAAGCGGCAGGGAGCAUGGACAAGGGGGGAGAGCACCUUGCAGCGCAAGGUCACCUGGGCAAACAUCAUGCAGGCAGACUUCCACCGGAUCCGAUUCCUAGUGCAGGCAGUAUACGACACUCUGCCAAGCCCAGCAAACCUCCAUCUGUGGGGAAAGAGCGAGACACCUGCCUGUCCCCUGUGCUCUGGAAGAGGGACCCUAGAACACCUCCUUAGCAGCUGCCCAAGGGCCCUGGCCGAUGGUCGGUAUCGUUGGCGGCACGACCAGGUGCUCAGAGUAGUUGCUGAAAAGAUUGCCUCAGCAAUCAGCACCAGCAAGCAUCAUCAUGCUCCGAGGAAGGCAAUCUCUUUUAUUAAGGCUGGAGAGAAACCCCAGGUGCGCCCACAUUUGACAACUGGCCUCCUCAACACAGCCUCUGAUUGGCAGCUACAGGCUGACCUGGGUAAACAACUAAAGUUCCCUCAGAACAUUGCAAAAACAUCACUCCGGCCAGACAUGAUAAUUAUUUCUGAGGCCUCAAAACAGCUGAUCAUGCUGGAACUCACAGUGCCCUGGGAAGAGCGGAUUGAGGAGGCCAAUGAAAGGAAACGAGGAAAGUACCAGGAACUAGUGCAGGAGUGCAGGGGAAGGGGCUGGAAGACUUUCUAUGAGCCCAUAGAAGUGGGUUGUAGGGGCUUUGCAGGACGAUCACUCUGCAAAGCCCUAGGGCGGCUGGGCGUGGCUGGGGCAGCCAAGAAGAGGGCCAUCCAGGCUGUGAGUGAAGCGGCAGAGAAAGCCACAAGGUGGCUGUGGAUCAAGAGGGCUGAUCCGUGGGUAGCUACUGGUACGCAAGUCGGGGCUUGAUCACCCCCGGCUGGGUCGCCUGGGCGAGGGUGUAUGAUGUUGUGAGACCCGAAACACCUGAUGACCCUAGGAUACAUCACUGAAGAUGCGUACCAGUGCAUCCAGGAGAUGUGUCUU
This is an RNA transcript of Maylandia zebra (zebra mbuna), 3634 nucleotides long. RefSeq lists it as uncharacterized. Lineage: Eukaryota; Metazoa; Chordata; Actinopteri; Cichliformes; Cichlidae. The record is from RefSeq and is a predicted model, not a curated record.